Molecule: unclassified non-coding RNA, 250 nt
Filed under: plant metagenome
Description: partial contains small subunit ribosomal RNA, internal transcribed spacer 1, and 5.8S ribosomal RNA
Source: RNAcentral
GUAGGUGAACCUGCGGAAGGAUCAUUACAGAGUUCAUGCCCUCACGGGUAGAUCUCCCACCCUUGAAUAUUAUACCUUCGUUGCUUUGGCAGGCCGUGGAAACACCAGAGGCUCCGGCUGAUGCGUGCCUGCCAGAGGAAACAAACUCUGUUUUUAGUGAUGUCUGAGUACUAUAUAAUAGUUAAAACUUUCAACAACGGAUCUCUUGGUUCUGGCAUCGAUGAAGAACGCAGCAUCUGACUGACUUCAA